GAUGAACGCUAGCGGCAGGCCUAACACAUGCAAGUCGAACGGUAACAUUGGUGCUUGCACCAGAUGACGAGUGGCGCACGGGUGCGUAGCGCGUAUACAAUCUACCUUUUACAGGGGGAUGGCCCAGAGAAAUUUGGAUUAAUACCUCAUAGUAUUGUUUUAUGGCAUCAUAAAGCAAUUAAAGAUUUAUCGGUAAAAGAUGAGUAUGCGUUCUAUUAGUUAGUUGGAGUGGUAACGGCACCCCAAGACAGCGAUAGAUGGGGGCCCUGAGAGGGGGAUCCCCCACACUGGUACUGAGACACGGACCAGACUCCUACGGGAGGCAGCAGUGAGGAAUAUUGGACAAUGGAGGCAACUCUGAUCCAGCCAUGCCGCGUGCAGGAAGACUGCCCUAUGGGUUGUAAACUGCUUUUAUACAGGAAGAAACACUCCCACGUGUGGGAAUUUGACGGUACUGUAAGAAUAAGGAUCGGCUAACUCCGUGCCAGCAGCCGCGGUAAUACGGAGGAUCCAAGCGUUAUCCGGAAUCAUUGGGUUUAAAGGGUCCGUAGGUGGAUAAUUAAGUCAGGGGUGAAAGUCUGCAGCUCAACUGUAGAAUUGCCUUUGAUACUGGUUAUCUUGAGUUAUUAUGAAGUAGUUAGAAUAUGUAGUGUAGCGGUGAAAUGCAUAGAUAUUACAUAGAAUACCAAUUGCGAAGGCAGAUUACUAAUAAUCAACUGACACUGAUGGACGAAAGCGUGGGGAGCGAACAGGAUUAGAUACCCUGGUAGUCCACGCCGUAAACGAUGGUUACUAGCUGUUCGGAUUUCGGUCUGAGUGGCUAAGCGAAAGUGAUAAGUAACCCACCUGGGGAGUACGUUCGCAAGAAUG
Molecule: ribosomal RNA, 870 nt
Filed under: uncultured bacterium
Lineage: Bacteria
Description: bacterial SSU rRNA
Rfam family: Bacterial small subunit ribosomal RNA
Source: RNAcentral